UCGUCAUUGGUGUCUAGCUGCUCACUC
RNAcentral lists this non-coding RNA (27 nucleotides) under Homo sapiens (human). Lineage: Eukaryota; Metazoa; Chordata; Mammalia; Primates; Hominidae. The record is from RNAcentral.